RNAcentral lists this non-coding RNA (29 nucleotides) under Mus musculus (house mouse). The record is from RNAcentral. Lineage: Eukaryota; Metazoa; Chordata; Mammalia; Rodentia; Muridae.
UCAGAAGGUCUCAGAGGGCAUAAGAGUGU